UUUUGGAACGGAUGGGAAUUCUGCCUUUUCUCAUGAAAUUGUGAAAUGUGGUGGCUGAUGAAAAGCACCCAGUUGCAGGGAAUCAGAUUCUACAACAGAUGCUUUUUUUUGGCCCUUGAAACCUUGUUGAGGGAACCGUGUUGGGAGUACCCUCUGCUCUGAAGUUCCUGGGGCUUUUUGGGAGAUACAAACUUUUGGAGCCUGAAGUAGAAGGUGUUCUCUUCGCCUGCUGCAGCCUCUGCUGAUCUGAAGCCACACAGCUCAGCACGACUCCUCCUACCUGCUUGGCUUUCUGGAGAUAAUGAUAUCUCCGUUGAGAUAAGACUUCAUCUGCCAGAAUCAGUAUGAGUCUACAGAGGACAGCAAACAUGAUGUUUCUCAAAGGAACAGGAAGGAAGACCUAGGAAAUCUACCCUUCAAGGUAAAAUGCACCAACAAUGGGGCCUCUCCACUAAAGAAAGAGGUAAUCACUUUCUCUGCACCAACAAAAACGUGAGUAAAAAACACACAACUGAGAUAUCAGAAGAGCCGUGUUCAAAUCCCAGUUCCUCCAUUCUCUGACAGCUGACUUAGGUAAGUUGUAUACUGCUUUUAACUUUGAUAUCUUUACUCGUGAAAUGAAAUAUGAUUCUUGAACUGUCACAUUUUCAAGUAGAGUUGCAAUGAAUAUAUGAAAAAAGCAUACAUGAUUUUUUUAAAACAUCACAUCAUGUUGUACAAAUGUAAGUUACAGUUAUUAUUCAGUAAAUAAUUGUGGUAACAAAACAAUAAUUAGAACAGUAAUGGCAUAUUCAAACUCAAUGCUCUCCUUGAAAAACAGUCCAUUUAUAAUGUAGAGGUGAGCCCCACUGUUUUAUGAAAACACUCAUUUCUUCCCCUCCCCCAGAAGAUAGAGGUUUAAGUAUUCUGAAUUUUGUGGUGAAAUAUAAAGUUUAUAUGAAUUCAUGGUUCGAAUUAAUUUAAUUGUCUUAACCUAAAAUUUACGCAUCAAUAAAAAUUAUGGGCUUCAACAAGUUUCACUGAAUAUGUGUGGGAGUAAAUGAAUAUUAAGAAUACAAUGAAUUUGUUGUAGAUAUUAAAAUAGUAUUUGUUUCUUUGCUGUAAAAGAUAACCAGCCUCCUAAAUAAAUACCAAGCAAAGAAAAAUUUUACCUUCAAUAAAAUAUGCUGACAUAAAAUGAAUAGAAAUGUAUAUAAAUUUUGAUUUUCCAAAUUUCACAUGCACACAAUUCCAUGUGUCAGAGAGAAAAUUAUCAGCCAUGAGCAUAAUAUAUAUAAAUAAAGCAAUUCCCAUUUGUCUGAUUGCAAGCAGAGGAUUUAUUUGAAAAGAAGAAUUAUCCCUUCACCUUUAUAAGCAAUUUGGUUUCUGUAUGUGCUUAUUGAUGGGUGCUAUUUUCACAAUUCAGCACUAAUUAUUAAUUUGUAUUUUCAGGGGCUUGUGCAUAUAAUUCUCAUUAUUCCCAGGGGAUUCUUAUAAAUAACACUUUAGAGCAGAGGCUGGAAAUAUGUCUAGCUUUCAAUUCUGGUUGCAUUUUACACCUCGUGCUGUAACACUAUUGAGAAGUCCUAAGUGGUAGCUGGCAUUAUACCUCCACUCUCGAGGUACCUAUAUUUCAGGGUGAAGAGAGGGGUUGUCUCUUAGAGGGGUACAACAUGAGAAGUUGGCCCCUGGGUACUUUUUCAUUUUAGUGGCAUGUCGUUAGCAUCCUGAAUAUUUCAAUGUGAGCCUAAGAAAGUUCAUAAGGGGAUAUAAUAAUAAUAAUAAUAAUAAUGUCAGAUUUAUUUAGAGUCUUAGCCAGAAAAACUCUUAAACUGCUUCCAAAGCAGGAUCAGAUUUGAUACUUACCUCCUUUUCACUUUUUGUUUAUUUUUGAAAAAGGAAUA
Long non-coding RNA from Talpa occidentalis (Iberian mole), 1883 nucleotides. RefSeq lists it as uncharacterized. Lineage: Eukaryota; Metazoa; Chordata; Mammalia; Eulipotyphla; Talpidae. The record is from RefSeq and is a predicted model, not a curated record. The transcript has 4 exons.